AGAGUUUGAUCCUGGCUCAGGAUGAACGCUGGCGGCGUGCUUAACACAUGCAAGUCGAACGAUGAUCCCAGCUUGCUGGGGGAUUAGUGGCGAACGGGUGAGUAACACGUGAGUAACCUGCCCUUAACUCUGGGAUAAGCCUGGGAAACUGGGUCUAAUACUGGAUAUGACCUUCCACCGCAUACGCCCUACGGGGAAGCUAGGGACCUUCGGGCCUUGGCGUUAAUGGAGCGGCCGAUAUCUGAUUAGCUAGUUGGUGGGUAAAGGCUCACCAAGGCGACGAUCAGUAGCUGGUCUGAGAGGACGACCAGCCACACUGGAACUGAGACACGGUCCAGACUCCUACGGGAGGCAGCAGUGGGGAAUUUUGGACAAUGGGCGCAAGCCUGAUCCAGCAAUGCCGCGUGAGUGAAGAAGGCCUUCGGGUUGUAAAGCUCAUUUGUCAGGGAAGAAACGGCUCCAGCUAAUAUCUGGGGCUAAUGACGGUACCUGAAGAAUAAGCACCGGCUAACUACGUGCCAGCAGCCGCGGUAAUA
RNAcentral lists this ribosomal RNA (536 nucleotides) under uncultured bacterium. RNAcentral's name for it is "bacterial SSU rRNA". It matches the Rfam family "Bacterial small subunit ribosomal RNA", at positions 8 to 525 of the family's 1533-position model. The record is from RNAcentral.